Phyllopteryx taeniolatus (common seadragon) is the source of this 2909-nucleotide long non-coding RNA. RefSeq lists it as uncharacterized. The record is from RefSeq and is a predicted model, not a curated record. NCBI's taxonomy places the organism in Eukaryota, Metazoa, Chordata, Actinopteri, Syngnathiformes, Syngnathidae. The transcript has 2 exons.
CUAUGUUGUUAAACGGGAUCAGUUGAUUGACUUUCUCCCUGCAGUGACAGUUGAUGUGGUGCGGGACCUCCAGGAGGCAGCGCCAGAGGAAGACAAGCGUAAGUGGCAAGAGACAGGUGCUGAGUAUGAUGACAAGGAGAAGCUGUGGUUUGGCCUGAAAAGAGGACCUAGGAGACUGGUGUUACCUGCAGGGAAGUUCAUGCGGUUAAUGGUUGAGGAAGCACACGCCCCGACACAUGAAAAUUAUGUGUCAAUGCUGAACAAGCUGCGCUUUUGGUGGCACCCUGAUCUUCUGCGUAAGAUCCCUCUGUUGCAGACGUCCACGUCAGUGACCCCUCCCUUCCGUCUCACGUGUAUUUGAAGGUACUCCAAAUGAAGUGGUCUGAACCCCGCUGGACUGGUCCGUUUGAGGUGUCGGCUCGGACAUCUCACGCUGUGCGUCUCUUUGGAAAGGGGGACAAGUGGUACCAUGUGUCACAAACACGCCCGGCGCAGACCUCAUUUGCGGAGUAAACAAAGACAUUGUGCCUCUUGUGCCUGGUGACUGUCUGCUGUAUUGUGUGUGCUGGAUUUUUUGGGCGCUGGUAUUUGCUGGUGUCGUUUUUUACCUGGUCGACCUGGGUUUUUUUGGGGGGGGGGUUGGUGUUGUUGUUGUUGUAGUUGUAUUGUUCGUUCUAUAUCUUUCGUUUUUGUGUAGGUGUGUCUGUAUGUUGUGUUUUGUGAUUAAAUUAGUCCUUUAACAAAGGGGGAAAUAUGUACAUCCUGGAUGUAUGGUCAAAGAAGGUUAUAAUCAUGACUCUGGUGAUCUCCCUGAUUAUAGUUACAGGAAUCUAUUUUGGAAUGCCUUCAAUACAAGGAGAAAGAGUGACAAAGAGGGCCGUGAAGCCAACAGGGGCUCUACCAAUUUGAUUUGUGUAAGGUGGUAAAUUGUGCACGCUGGGGCGACCCAGCGGAACAUGAUAUUUACUUGUGCGCUUUGAGUACAGGACAUGGGGGAGCUGGCCGGUAUCCGGUGAACCAUAGGUUCAAAGUGAACCAGCAGGUGGAUUUGUGUUACAGUUGGAAGCAGGUGAUUAUCCACUCGAAACCGGGAUACUGGGAGCCGACGAAGAAUAGAAAUUGGCAGUGGAAGGACAGGAUCAAAUUGGAAAAAGGUAGUAUGCACUCAGUAACCCCGAGGGACCGACAUCCUGUAUUGUUGACUUUGUAUGAUAUAACUAGACCCCCGUGGAGAGAGUGGGGCAAACCAGUAGCGACCUUUACGGUCUUGACCUUGGGUAUAGCUGUCUCAGGGGCCGAUCACUAGGACAGAUUAUUAUUAAUUGGAUACGACCGACAAAAAGCUCAUCUAGUCCGAUAAUGAGAACAUUUGCUAAAGUACCAGCAUCAGUACCAGCAUCAAAAAAUGAGGAUCCAGUGGUUUUUCGAACCUCUAAAGUGACGGGAUAUGACCUGAAUAAUGACUUAGUCAAAGGAGCGGUAAACAGUCAUUUGUUACAGAAGGCGAAGGGACGAGCUGCAGGAAUUAAUCUAGGUAAUUAUUGUUUUAAGGAAAUUCCUAUGGAAGGUAGGGACGCAGUCCAAAUCUAUCAAAAAGACUGUCUUGUUUGUGCUACGAUGAAUAACCUCAAUUGGAUUGUAAACCCUGUGGUCCAGGAAAAUUUUACUGCUGCUACUAAGUUCAAAUUGACCUGUGCCUACCAGCUGAUGACUAAUGACAACUUGGAGGGUGAGUGCCAGCACUGGGAUCAGGUUUAUCCUCUGACUAAGGUGAAAGGUGCUCCCCUCUAUGAUGUCAAUAUGGUCCCUUCCCUACCCUGCAUCACACAAAAUAAGAGUAAGGUAACUUUGGGCCCAAAUAACAAACUUUCCCGAUCAAUUGGCCACCUAGAUCCACAGUUUUGUAAUUUCACCUUUUUAUUGAUUAUUAUGAUGCGGCCCGAUUAAGUAAGAUGAGGUCUGAUUUGUGGUGGAUGUGUGGGGAUGGUCUGUUGUGGGACUUCCUGCCCGGGGAAUGGACAGGCACUUGUGCAUUGGUCUCUAUGAUAGCUCCCACAGUGAUUAAGCCCCUCUCUGAGCAGGAAAUCACUCAAAUGGCGGAUUUCACCUGGGAGCGUGACUGGUGGGGUAGCUUGAACCGUUUCCGCCGUAUGGUCAGUGGCUUCAACGUGGGUGGAAAUGCUUGGGAAGAAGGUGAGGACCCCACCUACCUGGAUGCCAUUGGAAUUCCCAGAGUUGUCCCGGAUGAGUAUAAAGCUCGCUGUCAAAUUUCCGCAGGUCUUGAGAGUAUUUUUAUAUGGGUAACUCCGAAUAAAAAUGUUGAUUUCAUAAAUUACCAUCAUUACCAAAUUCAAAGAUUGGUGAAUUUCACCUCCCAACUAGCGGAAGGCAUCCAUGAGCAAUUAUUAGCUACCUCUCUCAUGGCAUUCCAAAAUAGGCUGGUCCUUGAUAGUAUGUUAGUGGAAGAAGGGAGUGCCUGCACUCGAAUUAAGGGUUAUUGUUGUACAAUUAUCCCCAAUAAUACGGCGCUGAACGGAAAGAUCACCAGAGCCAUGAAAGGUUCGGUGAUCUUUAUAAGAAACAGAUGUCAAGGAAGAAAGGAACUGCGGGAAGCUACUAUAAACAUUGAAUGCAGGAAUGUGGGCCGGAGUCUGCUGGCGACAUCUGGAGGCGAUGUCUGGAGCCAGAUCAGAUGGUCAUCAUUCUGAAGAACAACGAUGACGUCAGAUUUUGGACCAAUCAGACGGCAGCGAAUCCAUACUGGCCCGUUUGAAACAUUGUAUAAGUCUGGGGUAGAAUCAGAUAGUUUUUGUUCGACUACUUUAUCUGCUAAGGAUAAGAUAGUUACGGACCCAGAGCUCUGCAAAAUGUAUAGACUCCUCUGUCAGGAAUAAAUUGGUUGGUUUUUA